AGGUUUGCGAGAGGCAUUGUCGCAUCUGUUGAAGGUUUGCUGAGGAGCGGCUGUUGCCAGUUGAAAACUGUUCCCAAGACCGCGCCUGGACGACGUGAAAUACCGUCGGCCGUGGCAAUUUUUGGCAGGCCCUACGGGGC
RNAcentral lists this small nuclear RNA (140 nucleotides) under Haemaphysalis longicornis (longhorned tick). RNAcentral describes it as "U4 spliceosomal RNA". It matches the Rfam family "U4 spliceosomal RNA". From Rfam's summary of the family: U4 small nuclear RNA (U4 snRNA) is a component of the major U2-dependent spliceosome. The structure of U4 snRNA from yeast and human has been reported. Lineage: Eukaryota; Metazoa; Arthropoda; Arachnida; Ixodida; Ixodidae. The record is from Rfam by way of RNAcentral.